RNAcentral lists this transfer RNA (73 nucleotides) under Brumimicrobium salinarum. It matches the Rfam family "tRNA". From Rfam's summary of the family: Transfer RNA (tRNA) molecules are approximately 80 nucleotides in length. Their secondary structure includes four short double-helical elements and three loops (D, anti-codon, and T loops). Further hydrogen bonds mediate the characteristic L-shaped molecular structure. tRNAs have two regions of fundamental functional importance: the anti-codon, which is responsible for specific mRNA codon recognition, and the 3' end, to which the tRNAs corresponding amino acid is attached (by aminoacyl-tRNA synthetases). tRNAs cope with the degeneracy of the genetic code in two manners: having more than one tRNA (with a specific anti-codon) for a particular amino acid; and 'wobble' base-pairing, i.e. permitting non-standard base-pairing at the 3rd anti-codon position. Lineage: Bacteria; Pseudomonadati; Bacteroidota; Flavobacteriia; Flavobacteriales; Crocinitomicaceae. The record is from Rfam by way of RNAcentral.
GGGGCUGUAGCUCAGUUGGCAGAGCGUUUGCAUGGCAUGCAAAAGGUCCGCGGUUCGAUUCCGCGUAGCUCCA